UUAUUAUUAUUUAAUUUAGUAGUAUAUUAAUAUAUAUAUAUAUACUUUUUAUUUUAGCCUCCUAGUGAAUUAAAACUUAAUGGAAAAGCUGAUGUUGUAUAUGAUGCCUUGAAACAUCUCUUAUAUAUUGCUGAACUUCCAGUUAUAAAUAUUUUACAUCCUUGCCUAUUGAAAUUUCUUUCAGGACAAGAAAGAAAUCCAAAGAAUUCUUCAGUAGAUUUCAGAUCAACUCGUUAUGAUGAAGUAUAUGGACAACUUUUGUGGAAUAUGGAGCAUGAACAAAAAAUAUUAUUUCGAAGAGCAUAUUCUGCUUAUAUUCCUGAAUAUAUUAAUGCAAUGGGAAUAGCUGUAUGUUAUCAUAUGAAGCAAACUUUAAGAACGUUGUUAGAAUACUUAUUAAUAUAUGAUGGACCAGAAGAAGUGAGUAGAAGAAAUGCACUUCUGUCACUAAAAGUGUUGAUUUCUGUUGCUUGGCCAAGAAUACCUUAUCAUUGGGAAGAAAUUAUGAAAAAUAUUCUUAUUUGUAUAUAUGAAGUAGAAGAAGAAGAUAUAUCUAUUGAAGUAAAGUCAUUACUUUUGAAUGAAGCAAGAAAUUGUUUAUUAUAUAUGAAAAAAGCAUGUCCUGAAAAAUUUGAACCUGUAAAGAAAGGUCAACUCUGCCAUGAAAUUGUUUAUUCCUCAAAUGUGCAUUUGAAAGGACUGGAUUGGAAUAAAGACACAUUUGUGUUUUUAAAGAGUGCUCCAACUGAUUCAACUUUACCAGUCAUUGAUAUGAUUAAAUCACUUGACAAAUAUGAGUAAAAUAAAUAUGAAAAAUUUCAUCAAGAUAUAAAUCUUCUGGUAAUUUAAAGGUAUAUAAUUUCUACAUCCUCAGUAAUUUUUAUGCAAGUUUGGAUUUAUAUAUGGAUCAUUUUUAAAAAGCUGUAUGUGUUAAAUCAAGGGUACUCAAGAUAUAAGUUUCAACCUCUAAAGGGAUCACAAAAAGAAAUUUCAAAAACAAAAAUAUAAAAACAGAAAAUGCAAACAAGCAAUCUUCAGACUAACACACAAAAGACAAAAUUAGCUAGUAUCAAUAAGGGUUUACAGAAUACUGCAAUAGCUCAAGUUUCUGAUUUUGUUCAAUGAUUAAGACAAAUUUUGAUUUUAAAAAUAAGUUCAAAUAAGUAGCCUAUUGGUUCAUAUUCUCAGUUAAAUGUGGAAAGUUUUUGUCAUAAAAUAAAAUUUGAACAAAAUAAUAUGUUCUUUUUGAUAGAGAAAAAUUAAUCAGAAUGUUAAUAUUUUAAAAUAUUUUUGUAUAAGAAAUACUUCAGCUGUUGAAUUAAAAAUGAGUAUUAAUUUUGUAAAAUUUUAAUAUUGUUUUCUAGUAAAUCGGAUUUUAAAUCCAUUUUUCGUAUGUAAAGGAGACUUUCGAUAAUUAAUCUAUGCAAAUAUUUCUUGUGAUAUUUAUUACAAGAAAUAAAUUGCAUUUUAUGGGUUUCGCCCAUUAAUUCGAUGUAUUUUAAUUAUAAACUUGGAAUAUCAUCCCAAUAUAAAAUUUAAUUUCUUGGAAAAGAAUUUCGGAAUGAUUUCGUGCGCAUAUUUGGUCCACCCUCGAAUCCGGAACUGAAAUUUAUCGGAUCAUUAUAUUUUUAGUUCGUUACUGUGAAAAUUUUACAAUAGGAUUAGAGUGCAAUAAAUAUAAAGUGUGUAUUGUUCACAUUCAAAGAAACUCGGGGAAUAAUUGAAGGAAAGCGUUCCUUUUUUGGAAAAGAUUUGUUAGGUGGCUUUUAAUGUAACGAGCCGCGAAGGUGCUUCCAAGAUUCUCGGAUAGAUAAAACAGUCGAUCGGGGAAUCCCCGACACCCAACAUUAGGAAGUGAUUUCCUUAUUAAGUUCGAAAUGGUAUGUAACAUCCUCGGUGGAAUUAUGUUCCUAGAAUUUAAUUAACCGUACACGCAGUUAAGGGCAGCAGAAAAUAAGCUAGCCUUGUUUCUGAUGACGAUAAUAAAUACAGAGACGACGACUAUAUGUAAUGAUCCGCUCACUAUACGUUUAGGUAUUGAGACUAAGCGUAAAAUCCUUUGUCCUUUCGGAUUUUUCGGACACCUUGGCUUUGACUUAACGAACUUGGAAGUCAUUCACCCUUCUGCUUCCAAUUAAAAUAAGAAAUGCCGAAAAUUUCAAUUUUCUGUUGUAAUAAUCGGAAUUCUCUUUAAAUUAUAGAUAGAUACCAAUACGAAUUAAUUAUAAUUAGUUUGCAUUCGUCACUGCCGAAUAUUGAUUUUAUACAUAAAACUGAUCCAAUUCGUAAUAAAAUUAAUUAAUUUUUGUCUUUUUUUUAUACAUAUAUCGUUUAAAAUAUAUUUAAUUUGUAGCUUAGGCAUCAAAAAUUCACUCUGUUCCGUUAGAUAG
Molecule: RNA transcript, 2390 nt
Organism: Centruroides sculpturatus (bark scorpion)
Lineage: Eukaryota; Metazoa; Arthropoda; Arachnida; Scorpiones; Buthidae
Gene name: TELO2-interacting protein 2-like
Exons: 9
Source: RefSeq, a predicted model, not a curated record